ACCCCUAUAGUAUAAAACAUUACAAUGGCCUUGUAAGCCAUAAAUGAAAGCUAUUUUCUAAGGGUA
This 66-nucleotide transfer RNA is filed under the name Mammut americanum (American mastodon). RNAcentral describes it as "tRNA-Thr". It matches the Rfam family "tRNA". From Rfam's summary of the family: Transfer RNA (tRNA) molecules are approximately 80 nucleotides in length. Lineage: Eukaryota; Metazoa; Chordata; Mammalia; Proboscidea; Mammutidae. The record is from RNAcentral.